This 95-nucleotide non-coding RNA is filed under the name Tetraselmis striata. Lineage: Eukaryota; Viridiplantae; Chlorophyta; Chlorodendrophyceae; Chlorodendrales; Chlorodendraceae. The record is from RNAcentral.
CACCGCCCGUUGGGCCGGACGUGCCUCUGCGAGUCGGCCUUUGGGCGGACGUGGGACAGUCCAAUGUCAGCCUACUAAACGCGGAUAGCCUGCGC